Molecule: RNase P RNA, 447 nt
Filed under: Burkholderiales bacterium
Lineage: Bacteria; Pseudomonadati; Pseudomonadota; Betaproteobacteria; Burkholderiales
Description: RNase P RNA component class A
Rfam family: Bacterial RNase P class A
About the family: Ribonuclease P (RNase P) is a ubiquitous endoribonuclease, found in archaea, bacteria and eukarya as well as chloroplasts and mitochondria. Its best characterised activity is the generation of mature 5'-ends of tRNAs by cleaving the 5'-leader elements of precursor-tRNAs.
Source: RNAcentral
GAAGCAGGCCAGACCGCCGCUGGUGCGAGCGUGGAAACACGGCACUGGAGGAAGGUCCGGACUGCACAGAGCGGCGUAGCAGUUAACGGCUGCCCAGCGCGAGCUGAGGAUCAGAGCAACAGAGACGAGUCUCUGCGGGGUUCCGUGAAGGGUGUUCUGUGAGGCGUCGGCGCAAGCCGGCGGCCCGCGCGGCCUGCCGCGCGGGCUCGGGCGCAAGCCCGAACCGAACAGCCACCCUCUGCGGGGCAAAGCCCCGCAGAGGGUGAAACGGGCAAUCUCUACGCGCAGCAACACCAAGUAGGCCGGCGUCGACGUGGCUCGCGGAGCCGGCGGGUAGGUGGCACCGAGCCGCAGGGCGACCUGCGGCCCAGAGGAAUGGCGGUCACGGCGGGGACGGCGCAAGCCGCACCCGCUGCACAGAAUCCGGCCUAUCGGCCUGCUUCACAC